Balaenoptera acutorostrata (minke whale) is the source of this 398-nucleotide long non-coding RNA. RefSeq lists it as uncharacterized. The record is from RefSeq and is a predicted model, not a curated record. Lineage: Eukaryota; Metazoa; Chordata; Mammalia; Artiodactyla; Balaenopteridae. The transcript is spliced from 2 exons.
GCCAGACAGCCCAGCGCGGUCGGACGAGCAGCUUUCCCGGCUUGGCUCCGGGGCCCCUCCUGCUGCGCUCGCUCCUCCCGGCGACCUUCGGGCCUAGCUGCAAACCUGCCUCCCAGAAACGAAAUCUGCCCGCUCUGACAGCUCGGUUGAAGGUGAUUGAUGACUAUCUGGAGACCACAGUACGCAUCAUAUAAUAUCUGCUGCGUAAUUGCUUUAAUUUACAGAUGAAAGUACGAGUUCUCCGAUCCUGUUGGACCGCAGCCGGCCACGUCCGAGCUGCUUGCAAGGAAAAUCAUCGGAAAUAAUGAAUAGACGCUCCAUGCAAAUUAUUCAGACAGCUUAGCGUCUGUAGCCGGGAGAGAUAUAUAAAGAACACGAGUCAAAUGACAUUAAUAAUU